AGAGUUUGAUCAUGGCUCAGAGAACGCUGGCGGCAUGCCUGACACAUGCAAGUCGAACGAGACCUUCGGGUCUAGUGGCGCACGGGUGCGUAACGCGUGGGAAUCUGCCCUUGGGUUCGGAAUAACGGUUGAAAUGACUGCUAAUACCGGAUAAUGUCUUCGGACCAAAAGAUUUAUCGCCCAGGGAUGAGCCCGCGUAGGAUUAGCUAGUUGGUGAGGUAAAAGGCUCACCCAAGGCGACGAUCCUUAGCUGGUCUGAGAGGAUGAUCAGCCACACUGGGACUGAGACACGGCCCAGACUCCUACGGGAGGCAGCAGUGGGGAAUAUUGGACAAUGGGGGCAACCCUGAUCCAGCAAUGCCGCGUGAGUGAUGAAGGCCUUAGGGUUGUAAAGCUCUUUUGCCAGGGAAGAUGAUGACUGUACCUGGAGAAUAAGCCCCGGCUAACUUCGUG
Molecule: ribosomal RNA, 453 nt
Filed under: uncultured bacterium
Lineage: Bacteria
Description: bacterial SSU rRNA
Rfam family: Bacterial small subunit ribosomal RNA
Source: RNAcentral